Molecule: ribosomal RNA, 450 nt
Filed under: uncultured bacterium
Lineage: Bacteria
Description: bacterial SSU rRNA
Rfam family: Bacterial small subunit ribosomal RNA
Source: RNAcentral
AACGAACGCUGGCGGCAUGCCUAACACAUGCAAGUCGAACGAACUCUUCGGAGUUAGUGGCGCACGGGUGCGUAACGCGUGGGAAUCUGCCCUUGGGUACGGAAUAACUCAGAGAAAUUUGUGCUAAUACCGUAUAAUGACUUCGGUCCAAAGAUUUAUCGCCCAAGGAUGAGCCCGCGUAAGAUUAGCUAGUUGGUGGGGUAAAAGCCUACCAAGGCGACGAUCUUUAGCUGGUCUGAGAGGAUGAUCAGCCACACUGGGACUGAGACACGGCCCAGACUCCUACGGGAGGCAGCAGUGGGGAAUAUUGGACAAUGGGCGAAAGCCUGAUCCAGCAAUGCCGCGUGAGUGAUGAAGGCCUUAGGGUUGUAAAGCUCUUUUACCCGGGAUGAUAAUGACAGUACCGGGAGAAUAAGCUCCGGCUAACUCCGUGCCAGCAGCCGCGGUAAU